AUUGAACGCUGGCGGCAGGCCUAACACAUGCAAGUCGAGCGGAUGAGGGUAGCUUGCUACCUGAUUCAGCGGCGGACGGGUGAGUAAUGCCUAGGAAUCUGCCUGGUAGUGGGGGACAACGUUUCGAAAGGAACGCUAAUACCGCAUACGUCCUACGGGAGAAAGUGGGGGAUCUUCGGACCUCACGCUAUCAGAUGAGCCUAGGUCGGAUUAGCUAGUUGGUGGGGUAAAGGCUCACCAAGGCGACGAUCCGUAACUGGUCUGAGAGGAUGAUCAGUCACACUGGAACUGAGACACGGUCCAGACUCCUACGGGAGGCAGCAGUGGGGAAUAUUGGACAAUGGGCGCAAGCCUGAUCCAGCCAUGCCGCGUGUGUGAAGAAGGUCUUCGGAUUGUAAAGCACUUUAAGUUGGGAGGAAGGGCGAGUAAGUUAAUACCUUGCUGUUUUGACGUUACCGACAGAAUAAGCACCGGCUAACUCUGUGCCAGCACG
Molecule: ribosomal RNA, 493 nt
Filed under: uncultured bacterium
Lineage: Bacteria
Description: bacterial SSU rRNA
Rfam family: Bacterial small subunit ribosomal RNA
Source: RNAcentral